Molecule: ribosomal RNA, 384 nt
Filed under: Aspidepyris austrinus
Lineage: Eukaryota; Metazoa; Arthropoda; Insecta; Hymenoptera; Bethylidae
Description: partial large subunit ribosomal RNA
Source: RNAcentral
CUCUGCCCAAUGAUUAUUUUAAUGGCUGCAGUAAUUUGACUGUACUAAGGUAGCAUAAUAAAUUGAUUUUUAAUUGAAAUCUGGAAUGAAAGAGGUGAUGAAAUAUAAAUUUUAUUAGAUUAAUUUAUUGAAUUUAAACUUAAAGUUAAAAUGCUUUAAUAUUUUUAUGGGACGAGAAGACCCUAUAGAAUUUAAUAUAUUAAAUUUAAUAUAAUAUUAUUUUGAUAUAUUUAUUUGGGAGGAAUUUUAAAUUUACUUAACUUUAAUUAAUUAUUUACAUUAAUAAUUGGAUUAAAAUGAUUUUAUUUAAUUAAGUUUUAGAUUAAAUUACCUUAGGGAUAACAGUGUAAUAUUUUUUUAAAGUUCUUAUUAAAAAAAAUGUUU